CCUGGAGGAAAGGACAUCAACAGAGACUCCGUUAGUAGUGGCGAGCGAACGCGGACCAGGCCAGUGAUACAUCAAAGACAAUCGGAACCGGUCAGGAAAGCCGGGCCUCAGAGGGUGAUAGCCCCGUACGAGUAAUGCGAUGAUGUAUCCACGAGUAAGGCGGGACACGUGAAAUCCUGUCUGAACGCGGGGGGACCACCCUCCAAGCCUAAGUACUCCUCAGCGACCGAUAGUGAACCAGUACCGUGAGGGAAAGGUGAAAAGCACCCCGACGAGGGGAGUGAAAUAGACCUGAAACCGGACACCUACAAACAGAUGGAGCCCAAGAUACGUUCUGGGUGACAUCGUACCUUUUGUAUUAUGGGCCAGCGACUUAAUUUAACGAGCAAGCUUAAGCCGAUAGGCGAAGGCGCAGCGAAAGCGAGUCUGAAUAGGGCGUCAAGUUCGUUGUAUUAGACCCGAAACCUAGUGAUCUAGCCAUGAGCAGGUUGAAGGUGAGGUAACACUCACUGGAGGACCGAACGGGUGCCUGUUGAAAAAGGCUCCGAUGACUUGUGGUUAGGGGUGAAAGGCCAAUCAAACUGGGAAAUAGCUGGUUCUCCGCGAAAGAUAUUUAGGUAUCGCCUCGGAUGAAUACCUCAGGGGGUAGAGCACUGGAUGGGCUAGGGGGACUUACCGUCUUACCAAACCCAACCAAACUCCGAAUACCUGAGAGUACUAUCCGGGAGUCACACGGCGGGUGCUAACGUCCGUCGUGGAGAGGGAAACAACCCGGACCUACAGCUAAGGCCCCUAAUUCGUGGCUAAGUGGGAAAGGAUGUGGAAAUCCCAAAACAACCAGGAGGUUGGCUUAGAAGCAGCCAUCCUUUAAAGAAAGCGUAACAGCUCACUGGUCUAAAUAAGGGUUUCUGCGCCGAAGAUGUAACGGGGCUCAAGCCACGAGCCGAAGCUUAGGGUGUGAUCCGCAAGGGUCACGCGGUAGCGGAGCGUUCUGUAAGCCUGCGAAGGGCGACUCGUGAGAGCGCCUGGAGGUAUCAGAAGUGCGAAUGCUGGCAUGAGUAACGACAAACACUGUGAAAGACAGUGUCGCCGAAAGUCCAAGGGUUCCUGCGUAAAGUUAAUCUUCGCAGGGUUAGCCGGUCCCUAAGGCGAGGCCGAAAGGCGUAGUCGAUGGGAAUGCAGUGAAUAUUCUGCAGCCAGUGGAUGGUGACGAAUCCCGUGUGUUGUCCGACCUUACUGGAUUGGUUGGGCUUCGAAGGGGUUCCAGGAAAUAGCCUCCACAUCAGACCGUACCCGAAACCGACACAGGUGGACUGGUAGAGUAUACCAAGGCGCUUGAGAGAACUAUGUUGAAGGAACUCGGCAAUUUACCUCCGUAACUUCGGGAUAAGGAGGCCCAUUGCUCGCGCAAGCGGGCAGUGGGGGCACAGACCAGGGGGUGGCAACUGUUUAACAAAAACACAGGGCUCUGCGAAAUCGCAAGAUGACGUAUAGGGUCUGACGCCUGCCCGGUGCCGGAAGGUUAAGAGGAGAGGUGCAAGCCUUGAAUCGAAGCCCCGGUAAACGGCGGCCGUAACUAUAACGGUCCUAAGGUAGCGAAAUUCCUUGUCGGGUAAGUUCCGACCUGCACGAAUGGCGUAAUGACUUCCCCGCUGUCUCCAACAUAGACUCAGUGAAAUUGAAUUCCCCGUGAAGAUGCGGGGUUCCUGCGGUCAGACGGAAAGACCCCGUGCACCUUUACUGUAGCUUUGCGCUGGUAUUCGUGACUGUUUGUGUAGAAUAGGUGGUAGGCUUUGAAGCCGUGGCGCCAGCCAUGGUGGAGCCGAAAUGUGAAAUACCACCCUAAUGGUUAUGGAUAUCUAACCGCGUCCCCUCAGCGGGAACCGGGACAGCGCAU
Molecule: ribosomal RNA, 1897 nt
Filed under: Bradyrhizobium japonicum
Lineage: Bacteria; Pseudomonadati; Pseudomonadota; Alphaproteobacteria; Hyphomicrobiales; Nitrobacteraceae
Description: bacterial LSU rRNA
Rfam family: Bacterial large subunit ribosomal RNA
Source: RNAcentral